RNAcentral lists this ribosomal RNA (442 nucleotides) under uncultured bacterium. RNAcentral describes it as "partial 16S ribosomal RNA". It matches the Rfam family "Bacterial small subunit ribosomal RNA", at positions 338 to 795 of the family's 1533-position model. The record is from RNAcentral.
CCUACGGGAGGCAGCAGUGGGGAAUAUUGGGCAAUGGGCGCAAGCCUGACCCAGCAACGCCGCGUGAAGGAAGAAGGCUUUCGGGUUGUAAACUUCUGUUCUGAGGGACGAACAAAUGCCGGUACCCCAGGCAUAAGCUACGGCGAACUUGGAGACAGCAGCCGCGGUAAUACGUAGGUGGCAGGCGUGAUACGGAGUUAUUGGGUGUCGAGGGCGUGUAGGCGGGACUGCAAGUCAGGUGUGAAAGCCCCGGGCUCAACCUUGGACCUGCAGUUGGAACUGGGUUUCUUGAGUGUGUGAGAGGCUAGUGGAAUUCCGGGUGUAGCGGUGAAAUGCGUAGAUAUACGGAGGAACAUCAGUGGCGAAGGCGAAUUGCUGGACAGUAACUGACGCUGAGGCGCGAAAGCGUGGGGAGCAAACAGGAUUAGAUACCCCUGUAGUC